RNAcentral lists this ribosomal RNA (498 nucleotides) under uncultured Escherichia sp. Its description in RNAcentral is "bacterial SSU rRNA". It matches the Rfam family "Bacterial small subunit ribosomal RNA", at positions 952 to 1450 of the family's 1533-position model. Lineage: Bacteria; Pseudomonadati; Pseudomonadota; Gammaproteobacteria; Enterobacterales; Enterobacteriaceae. The record is from RNAcentral.
CGAUGCAACGCGAAGAACCUUACCUGGUCUUGACAUCCACGGAAGUUUUCAGAGAUGAGAAUGUGCCUUCGGGAACCGUGAGACAGGUGCUGCAUGGCUGUCGUCAGCUCGUGUUGUGAAAUGUUGGGUUAAGUCCCGCAACGAGCGCAACCCUUAUCCUUUGUUGCCAGCGGUCCGGCCGGGAACUCAAAGGAGACUGCCAGUGAUAAACUGGAGGAAGGUGGGGAUGACGUCAAGUCAUCAUGGCCCUUACGACCAGGGCUACACACGUGCUACAAUGGCGCAUACAAAGAGAAGCGAUCUCGCGAGAGCAAGCGGACCUCAUAAAGUGCGUCGUAGUCCGGAUUGGAGUCUGCAACUCGACUCCAUGAAGUCGGAAUCGCUAGUAAUCGUGGAUCAGAAUGCCACGGUGAAUACGUUCCCGGGCCUUGUACACACCGCCCGUCACACCAUGGGAGUGGGUUGCAAAAGAAGUAGGUAGCUUAACCUUCGGGAGGG